Molecule: transfer RNA, 73 nt
Filed under: Acidimicrobiales bacterium
Lineage: Bacteria; Bacillati; Actinomycetota; Acidimicrobiia; Acidimicrobiales
Description: tRNA-Thr
Rfam family: tRNA
About the family: Transfer RNA (tRNA) molecules are approximately 80 nucleotides in length. Their secondary structure includes four short double-helical elements and three loops (D, anti-codon, and T loops).
Source: RNAcentral
GCCCGAGUAGCUCAGCCGGUAGAGCAGCGCACUCGUAAUGCGCAGGUCAGCGGUUCGAAUCCGCUCUCGGGCU